AUACGUAGGGGGCGAGCGUUGUCCGGAAUGAUUGGGCGUAAAGGGCGCGUAGGCGGCUUUGCAAGUCAGUAGUGGAAGUCCAUUUUUCAAGGAUGGAAGUGCUACAGAAACUGCGGAGCUUGAGUGCAGGAGAGGUUAUCGGAAUUCCCGGUGUAGCGGUGAAAUGCGUAGAGAUCGGGAGGAACACCAGUGGCGAAGGCGGGUAACUGGACUGCAACUGACGCUGAGGCGCGAAAGUGUGGGGAGCAAACAGGAUUAGAUACCCUGGUAGUCCACACUGCAAACGAUGAAUGCUAGGUGUAGGAGGUAUCGACCCCUUCUGUGCCGCAGUAAACACAGUAAGCAUUCCGCCUGGGGAGUACGGUCGCAAGAUUAAAACUCAAAGGAAUUGACGGGG
This 397-nucleotide ribosomal RNA is filed under the name uncultured bacterium. Its description in RNAcentral is "partial 16S ribosomal RNA". It matches the Rfam family "Bacterial small subunit ribosomal RNA", at positions 523 to 918 of the family's 1533-position model. The record is from RNAcentral.